UUCUUUUUUUUUUUUAAGAGAUGGAGGAGUCUCACUAUGUUGCCCAAGCUGGCCUCAAACCCCUGGCCUCAAGUGAGCCUCCCACCUCAGCCUCCCAAGUAGCUGCCACCAUGCAGUCUCUAAUUUAAAUUUUAAACAAACCCUAGGUAUUAUUAUUAUCUUAGAGUAGGCUGCUUCUAAAAUAGGUCGCAAUGAUCCUCUUGCUGGUCUUUACAUCCUUGUGUAAUCUCCUUGAGUGUGGGCUGGACCUAAUGACUUACUUCUAACUCACAGGAUGUGGCAACAGUGAUGGGAUGUCACAUCUGUGAUUGAACUACAAAAGACUGUGCCUUCUGUUUUGCUAUUACUCUCUCUGGUGAGCCCUCUCUCUUGCUCUUGCUUGCUUGCACUGAUGAAGUAAGCUGCCACAUUGUGAGAUGCUCUCCGAAGAGGCCCAUGAGGCAGGGCAUCGAGGGAGGCUUCUGGCCAACAGCUCCUGGGGAACUAAGGCCUUAGGAAGUGAGUCCUGCUGACAAUAACCAGGUGAAUGAGGCAGGAAGCAGAUCUGUCCCAACUGAGCUUGAGAUGACUGUGGUCUUAUAAGAGACCCAAAGCCAGAGAGUUGACCCACAGAAACUGAGAAGAUAAACGUUGUUUUAAGCUACUGAGUUUUGGGGUAAUUUGUUAUGCAAGACAAGAUAGCUAAUACGUAUCUCAUUUUAUAGAUGAAGAAAAUGAAGCUUUGGGGUGAUGAAUCAAUGUUCUCCAAAUCAUACAGUCGGUAAAUGGCAGAGCCAAAGCUUUUGGAACAUAUUAAGUUCUAGGUUCUAGGGUCUGAGUUUAAGUCUGCUUUCUCAUGAGGUUCCAAGUGAUUGGGACACUGCAGAUCUGGAAGAAUUCUACUCUCUGAAAUCCUUGGAGUAUAGCCAUGUUUCCAGGAAACUCUUUUUGUGCAUAAAAACAGAGAUGGACAAAAGUUUAAAUGGUGCUAAGUGCUUUGAGUCGGUCCACUCCCUGCUGCAGAAGAAUGGCUGAUCCACCCAUAGAUCUGGUGAUAGUAACCAGGAGCUCCAGUCAAUAGCACAACGGCAGAGCUGAGAGCUACAGUCCAUCAAUUUUUACAAGCACUCAAGCCAUCUUACCCAUAUUAUGUAAAGCAGGUGGAAGGGGGCAUACACUUUUCUUGAGGAUGAAAAUGAAUGCAUUUAGUAAUGAAAAUGCAUAGUGUGGUAUUUUAAAAUUACAUGAGCUCUGGAAUCAGAUAACAAAUGGUUCUGCCUGAGAGACCAGAAUACCUUCUUUCACUGUUUUUUUUUUUCCUUCCUAUCCCUGAAACAGAGCCUUGAACUUUGAAACCACAGUGCCUUGUUCCAGCGUGGAAAGCAGCGUGGCACUUCCCUGUGGUGAAAGCACCCCAGCUUGAAAGGGUAAACACACCUUCUCCCAGAUAGUCUCCCUUUGUUUAGCCAGUGCUUUUUGCCAGUGGUCACCUUAAGGAAAUCAAACGAAGUGUAUGAAAUGGCGGCUAACUUUUGUGACAAUUUUCCACCUAGUUUUGUGAUAGUAAUUUCACUGCGUUCUUCAACUUAGAUGGCAAGUCCUCUUAGCAAGGCUGGCCUAAUUCUAUGUUCUCUAUGGCACCUAGUCACUAUGGCUGUGCAAGAGCCAUUAUUACUCAAAGUACCAUAAUAAUGGUCAUGCCCUCCUAUGACGUUAUUGUUUCCUAUCUGUCAGGACAUUAAUUGUCUUCUAACUUGCUCUAAAAUUGGUAGCACGGCACGCUGCCAAGACCAGAGAGAAGCAAGCUGCUGGUGAUAUAUUAAAAGGCUGCGUAAAAGGA
Molecule: long non-coding RNA, 1819 nt
Organism: Symphalangus syndactylus (siamang)
Lineage: Eukaryota; Metazoa; Chordata; Mammalia; Primates; Hylobatidae
Source: RefSeq, a predicted model, not a curated record